UACGGAGGAUGCGAGCGUUAUCCGGAUUUAUUGGGUUUAAAGGGUGCGUAGGCGGGUUCUCAAGUCAGGGGUGAAAUGCCAUGGCUCAACCACGGAGCUGCCUUUGAAACUGAGGGUCUUGAAUUCGGAUGCCGUGGGAGGAAUGAGUAGUGUAGCGGUGAAAUGCAUAGAUAUUACUCAGAACACCGAUUGCGAAGGCAUCUCACGAAUCCGACAUUGACGCUGAGGCACGAAAGCGUGGGGAUCAAAC
This 250-nucleotide ribosomal RNA is filed under the name uncultured prokaryote. Its description in RNAcentral is "partial 16S ribosomal RNA". It matches the Rfam family "Bacterial small subunit ribosomal RNA", at positions 524 to 773 of the family's 1533-position model. The record is from RNAcentral.